UUUUAUACACAUAAGCAUCCGUAUGCUACAUUUUUGUUUUGCAUCCAUACACCCGUAUGUUUCAUUGCUUUUUAUUUUAUUUUUUUUUCGUUAAAAGUAUGUUAUUUAAAAAAAAAAAAAAAAAAUCAUUUAUUUCAAAGUUUUAAACAUAUAUUCAAAAAGAAUAAAUAAAGAAAAAUUUGUUGGUUUAUGUAUUUUUAAUAUCUUUUUAUCAAACAUAUGUGCAGCAUAGUAAACAAAAAAAAUACAACUAAAAUAUAUUUGUUUCUUUUAGAAUUUUUUUUUUUUUUUUUUUAUUAUAAAUAUUUACUCCUAAAUUUGUUUAUACAAAGGAAUGUAAAUUAAAUAGAGCAUGCAUUAUUUUGAUUAAGUCAAUGUAUGUAUGUGUUAAGUUGCAGUAGUGUGAAAAUUAAAAAGACAACAUGAAGUACAUGUUUGCAUGAGUGAAUAUGUUUUUUUUUAUUGGUUUUAUAUAUAUAAAUACAUACAUGACUUAUAUUUUCAUUUCCGUGUGUGUUUCAGUGCGCUGUUCACCCCCUCAGUAUUAAUUCGAUUUAUAUUCCAUGUUUUGAAAUAACUUAUUUAUUUAGCUAUUUUAUAAACUUAUUUAUCUAACGGUUUAUUUAUUUUUGUUUCAUUUAUUUUUGCUUAUUUUAUUCACGUUUAUAAUGAAAAAUAAAGUUUAUUUAUGUCUAGACGAUAAGUUAUUUAAACUAAAAGAGUUAUAUUUUUGUGUUAUUUGCUCAAAGAUAAAGACUGAGUUUAAUUUGAUUGAAGAAAUAGAAUAUUAUUUCUGUAAUGGAUGUACUAAAAUAUAUACAAAAAAUGAAUCAAUUAUAUAUUCCUACAAAUGCAUGCGUUGUUUUAAAUGCCCUUUUUGUUUUAGUUACUUAACAUUAACACAAAGCAGUUUAUGUGAUUUGUCUUUGCCGUAUAAUAAUUCAGGAGAAACACACAAAACAAAUAAUCAACCACAUGUAAAAAACGUAAAUAAAAAUAAUACACUUGGAAAUGCCAGUAAAAACAAUAAUAAAGCCGAUUCGAAUAAUUUAAGAAAAGAAGACUGCGAUUCUACAACACGUUUGAAUGUCAAAAGUGAUGAAAAUAUUCAAAAUAGUGAACAGAAUAAAAUAAAUGAUAAUACCUCAGAGGAAAAUUAUAACACUUCAGGUGCCUUGAAUAAUUUAAAAAAAGAGAACAAAAUAAAUACUACCACUGCUAUUAACAAUAUACGAAAGGGACCACACGAAAAAGAUGAAGUCGUAUUUUAUUUUAAAUGCUCCUAUUGCUUAUGGUCCUCUAUUAACUCAUUUUAUAACAGCAAGUUAGACGAACUGCUUGGUGAUAUGAUACUGGAUGAAAAUAAAAAUGUAUAUAAAUGUUAUUUCAAAGAUAUCUUAAAUGAGUUAUUAAAUUAUAACAAUGAAAUAAAUAAAAGAAAAAUUUUGAAAAAGGCAUAUUUAAAUAAAGGAGAAGGAGGAAAAACAUAUAAAAAAUUACAAAGUUAUUUUUAUUUAAAUGAUGAACUUAGUUUUAGUAGAUCAAGUUGCUUCAUAAAUGGUCUAACAUAUGGAGACAUGAAUAGGUUUACAAACGAACUCACAAGUGAGAACUAUUUAAAAAACGAUUGUAAUACAAAACUUGUCGAAAAAAAUAAAAUAUCGUUGAUAUGGCAAUCUGAAAUAAAUAUAGAAAGGUUAAGUUUGAAAAAUAUUUUGAAUGGUGAACAUAUUAACAAUUCAGAAAGAUAUAGUGAUAUUUUUGAAUUAGAAAAUGAAAAUCCAAAAUAUUUGGAAUUUCUAUUGUCUAAUAAUGAAACAAAUUUGGAAGAUGAAAAACAAAAAAGGGAAAAGCAAAAGGAAAAAGCAAAAGAAAAGGCAAAACACAAUUCAGCUGAUUACCAAAAGUUAAAAAAAUUGUACAUAGAUAAAAAGUUAUCAAAAGAGGAAAUGCAUGAAAAACCGAGUGAACAAAUGACUGAAGAAGUAGAAGUAAACAUUUGCGAAAAAUUAAACAUAAUAAACAACGAAAAAAUGAAUAAUUUACUUAUUUACGCUAAAAAUCAUUUAACCAAUAAACAUAUGUAUAAUUAUCCUUAUAAUUAUUAUAAAGGUAUUAGCGAAUUGACACCAUUGAGAGCCAAAUUAAUCAGUAAACAAUCUAAAAGAUGUUCUAAUUGUAAACAGUAUAUAUUAAAACUUUAUAAUUCUAAUUUAAGUUCUGUGUUCCGACUAGAUAAUAAUGCAAUGAAAUUUUUACCUCGAAUUUAUAUAAACGAUUUUAAUAUUAUUAAAAAAAAAAAUGGUAUAUUAAAUUUUAUUUUAAUAAACCCACUUGAAAGUGAAAUGAAAAUAAAAAUAUUACCUGAAAUAGAACAUAAUUUUAUUGAACAGUUAAAUAUAAAUCAAAUAAGUGCUAACUGUAUAUCUAAAGCAAAUUCUUAUGAAUUUUUUAUAGACACAUACGAUGAAAUUAUAGAUGAACUACUAAAAGAAAGCAAACAAACUAUUAAAACAGAAGUAACAAAUGAGCAUAUGAUUAUUAAAAGACAAAAUAAUAUGGCACUCAUAAUUAUGAGUUUUCUGUAUAUAGAGAAUGGAAUCACAUCUAAAGAAAAUAACGAUGUAAAUGACGUCAUUUUGGACAGGUUGUUAUUACAAAGUGAUCAGAAACAGCAAGUUGGCACUGUUUCUAAGGACACCGAAGCUACUGUUGUUAAAGGUGAUGAUAACGACAAUGGUAAUGUGAAUGGAAAUGGAAAUGGUAAUAAAAAUGACAAUGAUAAUAGUAACAACAACAACAACAACAACAACAACAAUACUGAUAUUGGUUUUAUUACUACUUUCGAGCACAACAAAUCUGGAAAGUGUAAUAAUACUGACGAAACUGCGAAUAGUACACCCCAAUUGAACUUCCCAUUGGUUUUAGAAUGUUCUUUUUGUGAUAAAUCAAAAAAACCACAUAAAAUAAAAUUAAAUCUUGUCUUCACAAAUAAUAAAUGUACAAAAAGUAUAUAUAACUGUCCCCUUGAUGGGUCGUAAGUAUAAGUGCUACAUAGUUAGUACACUUAUCCUAUAUAUAUAAAUGUAUACUUGUUCUAUUUAGAUGAACCUUUUUUUUUUUUUUUUUUAAUUAAAAAAAUAGCUACAUAUAUAUAAACUCUGUU
This 3166-nucleotide long non-coding RNA is filed under the name Piliocolobus tephrosceles (Ugandan red Colobus). Its description in RNAcentral is "lncRNA (ENSPTEG00000009364.1)". Lineage: Eukaryota; Metazoa; Chordata; Mammalia; Primates; Cercopithecidae. The record is from RNAcentral.